UUCAGAAUCUUGCACAAUGGGCGAAAGCCUGAUGCAGCGAUGCCGCGUGGGUGAAGAAGGCUUUCGGGUCGUAAAGCCCUGUCAGAGGGGAAGAAUAAUGACGGUACCCUCUAAGGAAGCCACGGCUAAUUACGUGCCAGCAGCCGCGGUAAUACGUAAGUGGCGAGCGUUAUCCGGAAUCACUGGGCGUAAAGAGUGCGUAGGCGGCGCAGCAAGUUGGAUUUGAAAGCCCGGGGCUCAACUCCGGAUC
Molecule: ribosomal RNA, 250 nt
Filed under: uncultured bacterium
Lineage: Bacteria
Description: partial 16S ribosomal RNA
Rfam family: Bacterial small subunit ribosomal RNA
Source: RNAcentral